Molecule: long non-coding RNA, 2720 nt
Organism: Lepidothrix coronata (blue-crowned manakin)
Lineage: Eukaryota; Metazoa; Chordata; Aves; Passeriformes; Pipridae
Exons: 3
Source: RefSeq, a predicted model, not a curated record
UAUCACAAAUACUGUAAAUGCUCUUUUCAUUUAGAAAAUAAAUAAGAAUGAAGUGAGAACAAUGCAUUAGGUACAAAAUGUUCUUGAACUCUAUUUUAACAUAUUGUGCUGGAUUUGCCUGUUUCCAGUAAAAAACAAGUGACUUGUGUGAUGAAUUUUAUGUCCACAUUCCUUGGUGUGGAUGUUGACAUAGUCUACAAACAGGAUGAGAGAUAUCAUUGUGUUGAGACCAAUGAAAUCUCUCCCAAAUUUGGUCUCCUCAUGUUUGAUACCAGGUGAGCUGUUCUGUCAAAGCAACCUGUUUUGCUUCUUUCUGCAUCAAAAACUCUUUUACAGAGAAGGCUUUCAAUCUUGCCAAGGUCUGAAAAUAGGGCAAUACCACAGAGGUAGAUUUUCUUUAACUUUAGAAUCUUUUCAGGGGUGAUGAAUUAAUGAAAAUAUCAACCUAUACUGCCCUUCAUUUAAGUUAACUCCAUUUAUAUGCAGUUCUUGUGAACUAGCACUAUGAAAUAAACUGAAAGGCAUAAAUAAGUGUUAAUUUGAAACACAAAGGACUUUAUUUGUUCAAGAAGUAAUUGAGUAACCACCAUUGUUAACUGCAAUGAAUGGUGACAUUUUAUGGAGAUGGAUGUAAAUGUGCCCCACACAGACUAAUAUUCCUAUAGACAACUUAGGCAAAUAUAGACAAAUUUUUUUUACUGUUGUCUUUGGGGUUUGGGUUUUGUCUUUUAAGAGGGAGUGGAGGGUUUAUGUUGUUUUUUUUAUGUCAUGGAGCAUUUGAGGAACAAGGAAAACAUAAGUAAAACAUGCUUAAAAUGUGAAGCUAGAAUGGAUGAUUUGAGGAGAGCUAACCUGCUUUUUGGGUAAAAUCAGGAAUAAGAGAUCAGAUAUGCACACUGAAUAAAUGGAUCAUGUCCACUCUCUUAUUUAAAUGAUGAAGUGAUGAAGGAAAAAUGUGUUUAUGUAAUUCUGAUGGCCUAGUUAUAGCACAUAAACUAGUCCUUUUAGCAGAUGCUAGAGACAGCUGAAAGGUAACACGCAGGCAGAGGUCUCAGCGCUAGUAGCACAGACGCUCACCACAAUCAAUAGCAAGAUCAUUACCAAUUAAUCACUUUGGUGACUGAUGAACUCCAAAGGUUUCCAGUAGAGUUCAUGAUUCAGAGCUCAGACGUGGAUGUAGCCCAGAGAUGCAGGUUAUUAACUUUCCAUGGACCACCCACAAUUGCAAGGACAAAUCAACCUUUUAAUGCAAAACAGUGGAAAGGGUAUACAAAUGGCAUGUCAAAGUUGUAGUUAUUUCUGUAACACUGGGAAAGGAUUUUUUCCUUUGAUACAGUGCCACUGAUCACUUGUGGAGAAAAUGUGCUUUACUGAAUGCAGUUCAGAAGUUCUGGGUGUGAACCAGAAGGAUAUGAGAAGGUCAUUUGAUUUGGGGAACAUUUGUGAGUUAGUCUUUCUCUGUUUACUGAUUAAAUAAAUCACUUAACCUUUGUGCCUCUGUUUUCCCAGCUGUGUGUACUAUGAAAUGCAACUCAUCCUGCAGAUCUAUUUUAAGGAUCAGUAGGUUGUUCUGUUAAUAUCUGCCAAGGGAUCUGACUAAAGAAAUGAGAAGGUAAAUACAAUGUGGUCAUAAUUUCCCAACAGAACUUGCAACUACUUGCAAUUUUUAGCUAGACUAGAACCAUAAAGGCUCACAGAGACAUAAGAGUUUCUGUUAGGAAGCUCAAACAUAGGCAGAAGAAGUCAGCUUAAAUCAGCUAUUUGCCAGGUGCCCCCUAGAUCUAAGCCACUCCUCCUAGGCUAUAAAUCAGAAAAUCAACAAAAUAGAACCUGUCUACAGACUGCCUACGGACAACUCCUGCUGGAGAGAGGCCAAAGGAGAGGAAUCAGAAUGCAGGGGAGACGGGCAUCGCCUCAAGGCUGAGGCACCGUUCCUGCCAGAUAACCAAGAGCCACAAAUGCUGGUGCUCUCAAAGAAGAAGGGGAGGAUUCAAAAGCUUUGGCACAGAGAGCCAAAAGAUCCAUAAUGGAAGAAAUGGGAAAGAAUAUGAAGACCUUUAUAUGGUUCAAAUGUAUAAGAUGGGCUACAGCCUCAUAAAACAAAUGUAGGCAAUCCAGAGAAGCUAAAGAAGGUGUAUGUCUCCUUUGUGCCAGGACACCUGCAGAAGAUAAAACUGUUGUAGAGAGGGAUCCACGGAUCUAUUAUCCAUUGUGUUUUAUGAAGGGAGAACUUGUUAUUUGGAGGUUGUAUGUUGUCAUGAACCAAUGACAAAUUUUAUUAUAAAUGUCAUUUGGUAUCAACACAAGAAUAGUUGUAGGAGAUUUUUAAGUUCAGCUCCCAAUUUUUGAUUGCAGAUUUAACAAGUCUUCCUUUUGCCUGUCUCUUUGCCUUUUCCUUUCCUUUAAUAUGUACUUAACACUAAAAGUCACUGUGUUAUGCAUAAAGAAAAACAGUGUUGUGUUGGCACUAUAGCAAAUAUGAUAUAUGAAUUAGCAGUUCACUUCUUAAUACUGAAACUAGAGAAAGGUACACAGAAAUCCUGUACUCUUUGAAGCAUAGGAAAUAUACAUACCUUUUCUUCUUGUACUUUUGAAGACAUUGUUCCUUCAAUUGCAGGCAAAAUUUGCAAUGGAUAAUAAACAGGAUUCACAUUCUCAGCACUCAGUCAAUUAAAAGAAAUACCAAUUACAUUCUGUGAAUAUCGCCGUGUUGCCAAAGC